Molecule: RNA transcript, 1656 nt
Organism: Sapajus apella (tufted capuchin)
Lineage: Eukaryota; Metazoa; Chordata; Mammalia; Primates; Cebidae
Gene name: PRELI domain containing protein 3B pseudogene
Exons: 1
Source: RefSeq, a predicted model, not a curated record
UGACCUCGUGAUCCGCCUGCCUCAGCCUCCCAAAGUGCUGGGAUUACAGGCGUGAGCCACCGCGCUCGGCCCAGGCUCUACUUAUUCUAUAUUGAGUAAAAUGCGAUAGAGAAAUGCCCAUAAGAUUGCAAAUGAAGAAUUUAGUGGUGAAUUCUUUCAUUUGCUUCUUUCUCUGAGGCAAGGAAAAAUAGGAGUAAUUGAGAGAACCAAAAUGGGUUAAGUUGUUUUUGAAUCCCAUGAAACUACAAAUAUGUUUUCUUCACUUAAAUUUAAAGAAUUUAAAAACACUGGCUGACAGCGCCUGCGGGCUGUGCCGCCGGCUAAGGUGCUGGGCUGCUGGGGGCGGGGCGGGGACCCGUGUAGCCUCUGGGCCUUGUUGUGCCCUGGCGCCACCCGGACAUCGCUCAGGCCACUGGCACCAUGGAGAUCUGGACGUCAGGGCACAUCUUUGACCACUCGUGGGAAAUUGUUACAACAGCUGCAAUGCAGAAAUAACCAAACCCUAUGGAUCUAAGUGUAGUUGGAGUUGAUGUGUUGGACAGACAUAUAGAUCCCUCUGGAAAGUUGCACAGCCACAGACUUCUCAGCACACAGUAGGGACUGCCUUCCAUUGUGAAACCUCUUAUCCUUAGUGGUGCAGCAAGAACGAAAACAUAUGUGCACGAACAUUCUGUAGUUGAUUCCGUAGAGAAAACAAUGGAACUUAACUCUACUAAUAUUUCAUUUACAAAUAUGGUUUCAGUAGAUCAGAGACUUAUACACAAACCAAAUCCUCAGGACCCAGAAAAAAUUGUUUUGACUCAAGAAGCCGUAAUCACCGUGAAAGGACUUAGCCUCAGCAGUUACCUUGAAGGUCUGAUGGCAAGUAUGUUAUCCUCAAACACUGUUAAAGGCCGAGAAGCAAUGGAAUGGGUAAUACAUAAAGUAAAUGCCAAGAUUGAAGAACUGACAGCCUCAGGAAGAGGAAGCAUAAUGACUCCAGGGGCAGCAGCAUUUGCUAAGAAGUGAUCAUGAAAGUUGGUAGAGAACGUGGGGUACCCCAGGUCUCUCCAAGCUGACUACAUAUUUAUGUGUUAUUUUAAAAAUACAACUAUAGUUUAGAUAGAUUUUUUUUUUUUAUAAGUUGGUGUAAGGCUAUGUGACUUGAUAAAAACAGAUGCAGGGCCUCUAAAUAAAAGAGAUCAUCUGAAAUUAAUAUUGUUUGAAAUUACUAUCUGAUCUUGAGGGUUCCAGUAUUUCUGUGAAAAUUCAACAAGAACUCCUUGGAAAUUGGUAUUGAUAAUGAAUCUCCUUAAGGUAGAAUUUUCAAUCUUUUCAAAGGUUGGAACUCUACCUGACUUUGGACCAACCCCAGAACAGAGCAGAGCCACCUCCGAUAGACACCCAUUGCCCUGCUGCUGUACACUUCAACAUCUUGCCCAAGGCAACUCACUUAAAAGGAGAAAUUGUGUAGUUUUAAAAUAUAUUUUGUGUAAAAUAACUUGCUCUGCUAUAAACCACCAUUAACCAGUGUUUUAAUUUGGUAAUUAAAUAUUUUUGGAGUGAAAAUUAUCACUAAAGUAACCUGACUCCAACAAAAGUAUGGUUUCAUUAUAUUAAAGAGUACUGUAUUGAUUUGUCAAAGGUUUGUAACUUAGUAAAGGUAUUCACUUCCUU